Long non-coding RNA from Myotis brandtii (Brandt's bat), 1885 nucleotides. RefSeq lists it as uncharacterized. The record is from RefSeq and is a predicted model, not a curated record. The transcript has 4 exons. Lineage: Eukaryota; Metazoa; Chordata; Mammalia; Chiroptera; Vespertilionidae.
AACCUCCUGGCGCCCGCUUCCUGGCAACGAGGAAGUAAUGUCUUCUCAAAUUUCCCUGGGAGGAGUAAUUAAACUGAAUGAGCUGUGCCCCCAUCUUCCUCUGCAGCCAGUGCCCGGUGGGCCAGCCUUGGUGUCUGCAGAAUUCCCUGCUGUGGGAGACCCUGCCCAGGACCAGGGAUGCCACUGGAAGUGCAGGAGUUCUUCAAGGGCAGAGACCAUGGCUUGUUUAUCAGCAUGUGGCAAGGAGCCUGACUCAACACAUUGAAAGAAUAAGUGGAUGAAUGAAUGAAUGGACAGCUAGACAAGGAAAUAUAAUUAUGUCACAGUUAAAGACAGAAGUGGAAACAGGCCAUCAUAGGAGCAAAAAGGUAAGAGCACAUUGGGGGUGGCAAGGCGAAGGCUUCUCAUUGCCAUGGGGUGGGGCAGGGACAGAAGUCACAGGGGCACACUAUAAAAAGAACAUCUCUUUCAAACACUUCCUCCAUUUCAUGCUUCUCUGGAGAGUCAGCCAUGUGUGUGCUGAUAAGCUCUGUGGUUUGAUGUGGAAGAUGCGCUUGAGAAAAUGUGUGAUGAUGUAUCAAUGCCUGAAUGUGACAGCUGCCAUGCUCUUGUUCCGGCUGACCUAGCCUUCACUCCUCCUGGGGUGUGAGCGACUCAGGACAGUCUUGCCCCUGACGUAAAACCCUUGGAAAACGGAACUGGAAAGUACACAUUCCGCAUUUAUGAAUGAGGGCACGUUGGUUGGAAUGUCUCCACUACUGCACUGGAGACUUAUGGAUGUGGCUGCAGCCACUCUGACAGAUUCCUGGUCCUCAUUGAGGAAUCCAGCCUUCAGUAUGUUUAAUUUUCCUUGGUGAUAAGUGGCUGUGACAAUGCCUUAAGGCAAAACGAAAUAAGUCAUCUCAUAGUUGUGGAAGGAAGUAGACCUACUGAGCACCAGAUGGGACUGUCUCCCAAUCUCAUGUGGACCCAAAUGUGCAACUGCUAUUUCUCCCUCAGGCCUCACUUCCUAGGAGCCAUUUAUCCCACUGUCUGUUGAUGAUGUGAAACUUAUUUUUCUAUUUAUGAAACAGGCUUUUAAGAUGCUGUUCCCAGGAUGUGAGGGCUAUUUUUCUAUUCUUCUUCUUAAUGUUAGCAUUGCUCAUAAAAUUUAUGAGGCUCUUUAAAGAUUAUAAAUUACUUUUACAUAAUGAAAUUUGUGGUUGCUUAAUUCACUUUGUGCAAUAUGCCACACAGUAUCCUAUAUGAGGGGAAAUUUAAUACAUGCUAUCGGGGAUAAUAUGAUCAAGAACCACUAUUUUAUUGUUAACCCAGAUUUUUCCAUGUGCCAACUAUGGGCAAAGCUCUUUAUGUUAAAAUUUAACACAUAAAUUCACAGAGCUGAAUUGCUGGCGAUCUCCUUAUUUUAUUUUUGGACCCUGAUAAAAACUUUGCCCAUCUUUUAUUUAUGAGAAUAUAGUCUGCUUUUAAGAUAUCACUCUGGCAAUUUCCUCAGAGACCCACUAUAUAUUUAACUGAAUUCUCUUGGGCUGCAAUUCCAGCUACUGCAACUUGCUUCAUCUCUUCAUCCUCAGAGAAGAUGGUAGAGCAGGUAGUCGAUAGCCUCUGCAAGCAACUGUGUUCACCUCUGGGAGUAAGUAAUUUCUUUGAUCUUUCCAUGAACACUGUUUUCCAGAACUUUGUGGUUCACUUCUGCAGCCUGUCAGAUACCCUGAAGUCUUGAGGCCCAAAUGGAGGCAUAUUUAAGCAAAGCUCUUGCGACCUCUUGGAAAAGGCACUGUACUGUUCAUAUGUUUUAUGAUGAUCAAAUAUCAUAUAGCUUUAUUCCAUUUAUAACAAGGUAACUUGACAUAUUUCAUAGCAAUAAUGGCUACUAUUUAGAGAG